GCCAACAUGGUAUAGUGGUUUGAAUGUCGGACUAUGACUCUGGAGACCAGGGUUCGAAUACCGUCUUGACC
Molecule: non-coding RNA, 71 nt
Organism: Phrynosoma platyrhinos (Desert horned lizard)
Lineage: Eukaryota; Metazoa; Chordata; Lepidosauria; Squamata; Phrynosomatidae
Source: the annotation of a GenBank genome assembly